AACUCCAGCCUGUCUUAGUGGCUUUACUUAUCUCUCUAGAUAACUAAGAUUCAAGGACAACAGGAUCAAGGCAAGUCAGGGUGUAGCUGGCCCAAUUACCUUUGGAGAUAAGGCAUUCAUCACUGAAUAAAAUUUACAUUUUUUAUGAAGAACAGCUACAUAGACAUGAUCUCUAAGAAACUGAAGGACAUCUGACAGUCAGAAAAAUCAUCAUGGUACUAUUAGAUGAAGAAUGCAAAAAGAAGUCUUCUUUACUACUUAACGUGGACUGAGAAGAGCAGCACAUAGCGUAUUAGAAAAGUUCCAAAGGUCUGUCCUGAAACAACAUGACACUGACCUACGAGAGUUUUUCCCCGGUCAAGUAUCCAGCGACAUUCAAGAUGCCAAGGUCAAUCGCAAAAGCAUGUUCAAACUCUUUCAUUAUAACCAACAGCAUAUAAAACAUCUCAGGAGCCACUGCAGUGAUAAUAAUGAAAUACCAAAGAAAGGUUUCUGUUUCAGCUGAUUCAUGUGAAACUUUAGAUUUACUGAAUUUUCUUUAUUUAAAGUUCAACCCUCCAUUUAAUAAAUGACUAUGCUGUAAGCAUAUCAGUAACUAAUAUGCAAUUAAGUAAGAUGCAACAUACUUAAAAUAAAAAGCUCAAACAGGAUUUUAGUAUGUUUAAACUACUGCAGAUGAAAUACCUCACA
Pygoscelis adeliae (Adelie penguin) is the source of this 690-nucleotide long non-coding RNA. RefSeq lists it as uncharacterized. NCBI's taxonomy places the organism in Eukaryota, Metazoa, Chordata, Aves, Sphenisciformes, Spheniscidae. The transcript is spliced from 2 exons. The record is from RefSeq and is a predicted model, not a curated record.